GACGAACCAUGCAAACGUUAUUCGGAAUCACUGGGCUUAAAGCGUGCGUAGGCGGUUCAGAAAGUUGGGUGUGAAAUGCCUCGGCUCAACCGAGGAAUUGCGCCCAAAACUACUGGGCUUGAGGGAGUUAGAGGUGAGCGGAACUCACGGUGGAGCGAUGAAAUGCGUUGAUAUCGUGAGGAACACCGGAGGCGAAAGCGGCUCACUGGGGCUUCACUGACGCUGAGGCACGAAAGCUAGGGGAGCAAACGGG
RNAcentral lists this ribosomal RNA (253 nucleotides) under uncultured bacterium. RNAcentral's name for it is "partial 16S ribosomal RNA". It matches the Rfam family "Bacterial small subunit ribosomal RNA", at positions 524 to 776 of the family's 1533-position model. The record is from RNAcentral.